This 67-nucleotide transfer RNA is filed under the name Otitoma sp. MNHN IM 2013-9848. RNAcentral's name for it is "tRNA-Met". The record is from RNAcentral. Lineage: Eukaryota; Metazoa; Mollusca; Gastropoda; Neogastropoda; Turridae.
UGUAAAAUAAGCUAAGAAUAAGCUGUUGGGUUCAUACCCCAAAAAUGAACGCAUUGUUCUUUUACAA